UAUCUUUGCGCCCUAAUAAUUUAUUACAUAAUAAUCAUUUAAAUAAUAUUGGCAUG
Non-coding RNA from Flavobacteriaceae bacterium CG1_02_35_72, 56 nucleotides. The record is from Rfam. NCBI's taxonomy places the organism in Bacteria, Pseudomonadati, Bacteroidota, Flavobacteriia, Flavobacteriales, Flavobacteriaceae.